CGCCUGUUUAUUAAAAACAUGUCUUUUUGAUUAUAAUUUAAGGUUUAAUCUGCUCAAUGAUUAUUUAAAUUGCCGCAGUAUUUUGACUGUGCAAAGGUAGCAUAAUAAUUAGUUUCUUUAUUGGGAACUGGAAUGAAUGAUUGGACGAGAAAAUUUCUGUCUCUUUAUUAUUUUAAUUGAAUUUUACUUUUAAGUUAAAAGGCUUAAAUUUUAUUAGAGGACGAGAAGACCCUAUAGAGUUUAAUUUUUAUUUAAAUAAUUAUUUUUAGUAUUUAUAUAUAUUAUUUAAAUAAAAAUUUAGUUGGGGUGACUAAAAGAUAAGAAUAACUCUUUUAAUUUUUAUCAAUUAUUUUUGAUUAUAAAAUCUUUAUUUUUAAUUUUAAAAUAAAUUACCUUAGGGAUAACAGCGUAAUUCUUUUUUAAAGUUCUUAUUAAAAGAAGAGUUUGCGACCUCGAUGUUGGAUUAAAAUUAAUUUUAGGUGUAGAAGCUUGAAAAUUAAGUCUGUUCGACUUUUAAAAUUUUACAUGAUCUGAGUUUAAACCGGUGUGAGCCAGGUUGGUUUCUAUCCUUAAUUAUAUAUUAUACUUUAGUACGAAAGG
Molecule: ribosomal RNA, 600 nt
Filed under: Pteroptyx tener
Lineage: Eukaryota; Metazoa; Arthropoda; Insecta; Coleoptera; Lampyridae
Description: partial large subunit ribosomal RNA
Rfam family: Bacterial large subunit ribosomal RNA
Source: RNAcentral